GAUGAUAGUAGUACUCCCUGCUCUUGUCUAAGCUUAGAAGCUAAGAAGGGUCAUCUGAUUACAUUUGGAUGGGAGACUACUUGAAAAUCUUAGGGCUAUAGGCU
RNAcentral lists this ribosomal RNA (104 nucleotides) under Notechis scutatus (mainland tiger snake). The record is from RNAcentral. Lineage: Eukaryota; Metazoa; Chordata; Lepidosauria; Squamata; Elapidae.